CGCUACGGACUUAAAAAAUCCGUCGACUUUAAAAAUCGUGAGGGUUCAAGUCCCUCUAUCCCCA
RNAcentral lists this transfer RNA (64 nucleotides) under Rothmannia whitfieldii. Its description in RNAcentral is "partial tRNA-Leu". Lineage: Eukaryota; Viridiplantae; Streptophyta; Magnoliopsida; Gentianales; Rubiaceae. The record is from RNAcentral. RNAcentral also lists the same sequence under 1 other name.